This 402-nucleotide small RNA is filed under the name Drosophila pseudoobscura pseudoobscura. RNAcentral's name for it is "GA30564". Lineage: Eukaryota; Metazoa; Arthropoda; Insecta; Diptera; Drosophilidae. The record is from RNAcentral.
GAAAAACAAAAUGGGUGUUUCAUAAGAUUUUGUUCUGGAAGGGUAGUGCGAAAUAAUUGAUGCAUUCUAUUAUUCGAUGCGUUUGGAUAGGCAGCGUCGAACGCCCUUUUGCGGAAAUGUACUAUUAUCUGCAUUCUGCGGUCCCUGAUUCAUCGCACACCAAAUGGGCCGAGUUUAACCUUGCUUUUCAGCUUGACCAGUUGAUUAGUGUUGAGUAAGGACGCUUUAAAUAAAGCUGAACUAGUUCAAUGUGUUUUUUGCAAUUAGUAUUAUAUAUAAAACUGCGCGACGUUCCGAAUCUAAAUAAAAGGAACAUCUUAAUCCGGUCAAAAUUAUUACAAAAGGAACGGCAGCAAAAAAUGUUGUGGGAUUCCAUCUUACCUUAUGAGACAUUGGCCCAAG